AUACUUAUCUGGAAGGGGAGAUACCAUAAUCAUGAAGGUGGUUUUUCCAGGGUGAGGCUAAUCCAUUGAACUCUGAGUGUGCUGACCCCUGUGAUUUCCCCAAAUGUGGGAAACUCCACUGCACAAUUGGUGGUGGUGGAGGGCUGUGUUCCUACUCUGCCCUGGU
Small nuclear RNA from Pongo abelii (Sumatran orangutan), 166 nucleotides. Its record names the gene U1. It matches the Rfam family "U1 spliceosomal RNA". From Rfam's summary of the family: U1 is a small nuclear RNA (snRNA) component of the spliceosome (involved in pre-mRNA splicing). Its 5' end forms complementary base pairs with the 5' splice junction, thus defining the 5' donor site of an intron. The record is from Ensembl. Lineage: Eukaryota; Metazoa; Chordata; Mammalia; Primates; Hominidae.